RNAcentral lists this unclassified non-coding RNA (726 nucleotides) under Homarus americanus (American lobster). RNAcentral describes it as "uncharacterized LOC121870052, transcript variant X1". The record is from RNAcentral. Lineage: Eukaryota; Metazoa; Arthropoda; Malacostraca; Decapoda; Nephropidae.
CCACUGUCUUGCUUUCCAGAGGAAGAGAGGAAGAGGAGAGGGAGGAGGAGGAGGAGGAAGCUAUUGGCGGCAGGUGGCGUGAAAGCGACCGACUCUUUACUCCCGCGGACACGUUGAAUGUUCUAAUAACUUUUUGUAAUGCCAGAAAAUCUGGGGAGGAAGGAAGUGUUGGGGCAGCUGAUGUAGACGAGGAGGGCCCUUUGUACGCCCAAGAAGGAGAGGAGGCCGCCCGCUGGUCCUCCUUCCUCAACAACUUCUGCAAGAGGAUUAGGGUGUGGACGGCCACCAGAGACGCUCUCACUCAGUACCGCGACGUGCUUAUAGGUCGGCUGGAGGAGAUGCGUAAGGUGGAUCGUCUUCGUCGGGAGAACGCAGAGCUCAGGUUUCUCCUGCAGGGUGUUGUGAACGAUCUGUAACCUGGGGCCUAGCUGCUGCUUGGGUGCUUCCUGUGCCGUUUCAUCAGUGACAAGUUUUUCGGGUUUUACUGGAAUUCUUAUCAGUUAAUCAUGUCUGUUCCCACCAAUUGUUUGAUAUAUGUUGCUAUUGUUAUAAAAACUGUAAUUUACUUCGUAGUCCAACAGCUCUGGCCAUGCUUUGGAUGAUAAUAACGCCAGUGAAUUUCCUCUUCGUUUUAAAGGCUUGUUGAAUAAUUAAUGCACAUUUGGUUUUCGUUUGUCUGCACAAUAAUAUUAUCUUCUGUCGAUUGUUAUGAUGAUUACUGCGAUA